UGCUGCUCCGUCACACGCACACUCAUGCACGCACCCUGAUUUUCCGUGUCUUUUUUCUUCGUGACAGACCGGGGUGAUGUCGGGAAAGGACAUUUUCCUAUCGUUAAAGGACGUGGUUGAUGGCUGGAAAGGACAUUUUCCCUUCGUUAAAGGUUCUCACUGAAGGGGAUAAUUCUCACUGAAACUACAGAAUAAAGCCGCCAGUUAAAAUCAUGGAACGGUUGUGCUCGUGGUUACUGAAGUGAGCUACAAGACCAUUAUUCGUUUCGAAUUCACCAACUCAAAGACGCUUGCCCGCUCCAUCAUAACUCCGUAAGUUUUCCCUCCCUGUGUAGAUCAAACGUCCUGCCUGUAAAUCCUGGGUAUGCCCACAUCAUUAAUGAAUAAGAUGUGUAGAAAACUGUUUAGCCAUAGUUAAAGGCCUUUCAUAAAGAGGCUGUCAUGAUUGCCUGUGCCUCAUGUUUAACACGUAUUGCUUGUUACCGAAUACUACUGUUGUACAUUUAAUAUCUACUAGCCGAUUUCGUCGCAUUUGCACAAAUUCUGUCAUGUUACUGUGGUCUUUUUAAAAGUCAAUAAAUAUGUGUGUAGAGUGUACAUGUUUGUUUCACUGUAGAUCUGUUUAAGACCUCCUAGAA
Molecule: long non-coding RNA, 638 nt
Organism: Oncorhynchus nerka (sockeye salmon)
Lineage: Eukaryota; Metazoa; Chordata; Actinopteri; Salmoniformes; Salmonidae
Exons: 3
Source: RefSeq, a predicted model, not a curated record